GAUGAAGAACGUAGCGAAAUGCGAUACGUAAUGUGAAUUGCAGAAUUCAGUGAAUCAUCAAGUCUUUGAACGCACAUUGCGCCCCCUGGUAUUCCGGGGGGCAUGCCUGUCCGAGCGUCAUUACAACCCUCAAGCUCAGCUUGGUGUUGGGCCCCGCCGCCCCGGCGGGCCCUAAAGUCAGUGGCGGUGCCGUCCGGCUCCGAGCGUAGUAAUUCUUCUCGCUCUGGAGGUCCGGUCGUGUGCUCGCCAGCAACCCCCAAUUUUUUUCAGGUUGACCUCGGAUCAGGUAGGGAUACCCGCUGAACUUAAGCAUAUCAAUAAGCGGAGGA
This 329-nucleotide unclassified non-coding RNA is filed under the name soil metagenome. RNAcentral describes it as "partial contains 5.8S ribosomal RNA, internal transcribed spacer 2, and large subunit ribosomal RNA". The stretch from base 1 to 120 matches the Rfam family "5.8S ribosomal RNA", at positions 35 to 154 of the family's 154-position model. The record is from RNAcentral.